This 472-nucleotide ribosomal RNA is filed under the name uncultured bacterium. RNAcentral's name for it is "bacterial SSU rRNA". It matches the Rfam family "Bacterial small subunit ribosomal RNA", at positions 29 to 506 of the family's 1533-position model. The record is from RNAcentral.
AUAAACGCUGGCGGUAUGCCUAAGACAUGCAAGUCGAACGGAAACUACUGUCUACACUAAGUUCAUCUUUAUUGGUGGAUUUUGCGUAGAUAGUAUUUUUAGUGGCAAACGGGUGAGUAUAAAAUACGAAUGUACUUUGAAGCAGAGGAUAGCCCACCGAAAGGUGGGGUAAUACUCUAUAAUGUCUCCGGACUAAAGACGCAAGUCACUUCAAAAGCAGCGUAUUCGCUACCAGCUAGUUGGCGGGGUAAAAGCCCACCAAGGCUAUGACGGCUACCGGCUCUUAGCGGAGAGUCCGGCACAAUGGGACUGAGACACGGCCCAUACACCUACGGGUGGCAGCAGUUAGGAAUUUUGCGCAAUGGACGAAAGUCUGACGCAGCGAUACCGCGUGAAGGAUGAAGUCUCUCGGGAUGUAAACUUCUUUUAGAUAAUCAUGAAGAUUGUCAGAAUAAGCAGCUACAAACUAUGU